UUAAACAGACGUAAUGGUGUAGAUGCCUACACAUGGGAUUGUAUCGCACGAGAUUGCCAUUAUUUAGGCAUUAAAAAUAAUUUUGACCCUCAACGGUACAUGAAAUUUGCCCGAGUGAUAGACGUUGAUGGAGAAAUGCAGAUAUGCAUGAGAGACAAGGAAAUCCCAACACUUUACAGUAUGUUUUAUUCACGCUACAUGCUGCAAAAAUUUGCCUAUCAUCAUAAAAAAACAGCCAUUUUGCAAUUGAUGAUCAAUGAAACAUUUCAAAGAGCUAAGAAAAUUCUUAAAAUUGG
Physella acuta is the source of this 296-nucleotide long non-coding RNA. RefSeq lists it as uncharacterized. The record is from RefSeq and is a predicted model, not a curated record. Lineage: Eukaryota; Metazoa; Mollusca; Gastropoda; Physidae.